This is a long non-coding RNA of Heterocephalus glaber (naked mole-rat), 3101 nucleotides long. NCBI's taxonomy places the organism in Eukaryota, Metazoa, Chordata, Mammalia, Rodentia, Bathyergidae. The record is from Ensembl.
GGGAGGUCAACUCUAGUUUCCGAGGUGAGAAAGCUGAGAUCCCAGAGAGGUUGUGUGAUUUAUUCAAAGCCACACAGCAAUGUAGCCACAAAACCGAGACUAGGCCUCCAACCCACGGCUCUUUGCACUUGGACUCUGAUCAGCAUCCCACCCAGAGUCUACUCUGACUGAUGUUAACUGCGUAAAAGAAAAUCGCCCGUGGAUCCAGGCACUGUCCCUACUACAUGGAACAGAACAAAGAGUCCCUCUCCUGAGGAACUGAUGAAAGGGGAGAAAGAGGAGCAACCAAGGCAGAGAUCCUCAAGGAGGAAGCCCUGACUCUCCACGUGUGAGACCCAGCGGGACACCACUUUGCAGUCUGCUUUGCUGGCGACCGUGCCUCAUCUGCGAGGUCCAGGGAGGAGAGCACCUGUGUCAGACAUGCGGCACAGCGCUCCAAGGCCCAGAUCCUGCUCUUCUUGGCAGAACAGAGGGCGUGGUAACUGGGCACUCCCGAGGGCCCUGUAUGGGUCUCGCUAUGCAGUUCAGGCUGGUCUUGAACUCACCACGUACCCCAGGCUGGCUUCAAACUCCCAGUGAUUCCUGAGGGCUGGGGUCACAGAAUCAUGGAGGUGGCCAGGAGCCGCUGCAGGUUGGCAGCAGAAAUAAAUAUGUAAAUGAAACACAGCUUUCCAACCUCAGCAACCGAAGAAGAGCCUGGCUGGAGGCUCUAGGAGAGUUCCCUACCGGAGCAUUUUGAGUUGUUAAUUUCCAGCUUUCUUUUUAUGCACUGUGCCUACCUUUGUGACUGGAUUCUGCACGCAGCCCUGAGCCCCUCCAGAACACAAACUGGGCUUUGGAAUGAGUCAGGACAUGUGUGCUGUGUGACUGCUCGGUGCCGGGCUCUGUUCUCAACGCCGAGUGCCCAGCCCUGAGCAGGAUGAGUAACGGGCUCUGCUCUCACGCGGGUUCGUCCCAGUGGAGGAGACAGCAGCGAAAUGAACACGCGGAGUGGUAGCGAUUCCUAAGAGCAACAGGCGACUGACGACGGUCAGGAGGCGGCAUGGUGCAGUCUCGUUUUCAGCAGACUAGAAAGCAGACGGCGCUGCGCAGAGACUCAGGGCUGUGGGGAAGGAAGGGAGCACGGCCAGGCAGGGGAACCAGUUGGAAGCCCUCUUUCAAACCCUCGCCUACUUUUCCAGCCGUAUCUCUGCCCAUUCCUCCACCUUGAGCCAUGUUGACUUUAUCUCCCUUGAAUACACCGAGCACCUGCUGGCCUACCUUCAUGAAGUUCCCUACUACUGUGCUGUUACCCAAUCUCCUCUACAGACAUCACCUCACCGAAUGUGCACGUUUUGGCUUCAUUGAUUGAGAAAACUGAGGCUUUUGACACAUUGUUGCCAGCUGGAAGGCUCCUGGGCCCAACUAAAAUCUCGGGUGGACUGCUGGCUCCAGGUCAUGUGACUCUCUGGGCAUUUCCUCCCGGGAGAGUGGUCAGAUUAUCCUGAAAAGUCAAUGUAAGACUUCUGGAGAGAAAAAUGGAAGCAUGAACAACAGUUCGGGCAACUGUAUUGAAAUGGUUUAGAGGGACCUCACGGCAUGGUCAGGACACUGAGACUAGCUGGCCUGUAGGGUUUGGAGUGAUAACUUAGGCAAGAGAGAGACCCUGAGUGUCAUAUCAAAGAGCUAGACUUUCUCUCAUUUACAGCAAAGAAUUAUUGAAAGGUUUUAGGCAAACAAACCAAAAUACUGCGUAGACCGAACAAGUAGAGUGUCUAGAAAUGAUUAGAACUGCGGCUCCUCGGUGAGCAGGCUUUCUCCCUAGUAGAAGAUCCCACCUGUGCUGAGGGCCAUAUAAGACGUACAGGCCCAGUUCUGCCGCUGGGGAAUCUUGGUUUUAUGUAAAAUCCACCUAUUUUUUAUGUAAUUGCAACAGAUUUUUAAUGGCAUGAGCCACAAAGGGCUCCACGCUGGGGCCUCGGUCCUGGAGUGUGAAUGAGCUUCAAGAGAACAGGGCUUUGUCCAUGUUUGCCACCACGUUCUCGGGGCCUGGCACACAGUAGAUGUGCAAUAUACAUGUGUUACAUGCGUGUGUUAAUAGCAUUUCCAUUUUACUUCUGAGGAAACAAAGUCAUAGCAGACAACCCACAAGGUUACAAGGAAAGUGGCCCUGGUCGGGCUCGAGUCCAAACUUUUGAACUUCAAAAUAUUUGUAGGUAAGUUGACGUAUGCCAGGCACAGUGCUGCAAGUCUGUGAUCCCAGCACUCCAGGAGGCUGAGGCAGGAGGACUGCAGGUUCAGGCCUGGCCUGGGCAACUCAGUGAGACCCUGUCUCAAAAUUUCUUAAUUUUACAAAGGGUUGGGGAUGUAGCUCAGUGCAAAAGCCUUUGGUCCAAUCUCCAGUAAAACAACAACAAAGACAACUUGACGUAUAAUACAGAUGAAAUGAGAGUAGAGAUUUCCUUACCAGCAUCUUCAGCACUCCCAACCGAGGGCUGUCCCACACACUGCCAAUGUCCCUUGCAUGGUUGCAGCUAGUUUUAAUCCCUAAGAAACGUCUGAUCCCACUAUCUGGGACCCCCACCCCCACCCCGACCUAGCAAUCAAAGAUGAGGGAGCCCACAAACCACCUGUCCCUCCCAGUGCAGGGACAUUUGCCUGAUGAUGAGCUGCUAGAGGCAGUUGCUCCCAGGCCUUUCAAAUCCAAAGAAGGCCUCAUCAGGCCUAUGCUGGCCAGGUGCCUAACUAGGGAAGUCCCCUGGGAUAGCCAAGAACCUUCAAAGCUCUCUUUGCUCUAGUUCACUAUUUAUAAAACAUUCUCAGCAGAGCUAGGCACAGCUGCUGCAUAAACAGAAGUGGAAGGUGAGAGCACAGUAGAUCUAGCGAAGGGUGUCUCAGGAAAUACAGUACCAGCAGUGGAAGCUCUAACGUAAGAGUCAGGAUUUCUCCUAGAUCUCGGUUGAAAUAAAACUGAUCCAGCCUUCCUUCUUUCCUUCCUUUCCUCGUCCUCCCUUCCUCUAGUCAGCCAUGCAAUAAACAUCUAAUAAAGACCUUCAGUGUGCCAUGACCGGCCGGUAAGGGUCCAAUGGCGCCUAGGAGCCCAGUGUGCUGUACUUUGUCCC